AGUUUUAUUUUAAUCCCAAUCUACAUGAAUAUGAUGAAUAUGAGUUUACCAUUAUAAUCACACGCAAUUUGUUUACUAUGAAGUUAUGCAGGUCAUGUGUUAUGUUGUGUGGGUCAGAUAAGCCAUCUGUGUGGAUUUAAGAACAGCUGUGUGUAGUCAUGUUUCAGGGCACAAAGGAUUGUAGUAUUAGCAAAUAGCCAAGGGUCAAAUAGGUCAAGGAAAGGAGACACUGGUCUGGUCUGGGGACUGUCAUGUGAUUCUUCAAGUUACAAGCCUGAACAGAAACAUAUUGUUAAAGCAUAUGGAGGGGAGGGACAAAGACCAUAUAUAUUUACCAAGCCUGGCUUGGAGGGUCAGACUGAUUUGGGGAAUCCUCCCAGGACGCUGGUUCUGGGGGGGUUAACCAGGGGAGUCUCGGCUUUUUAUUUGUCCGGAUAAUAAAAGUCUAUCUCUUGAAAUCAAAACCUAAGACUGAAGAUUGUUUCAUUGGAGGAAAAUGAAAACCACAUCAUUUGGUGCCGAAACCCGGGAUAGACAGGAGCUGGACAGUCACACCACAUGGGCGAACCUGACGAGCAACACAAACAGUGUAUGGCCAUAUACAAGUUAUUUGUGUACAGAAAAAGCUGAAAGGAGUUGAGGAGGACAUGAGACAACAGGACUUGAUGAGUGCGAGAUGAUCUAGCUUAUCCGAGGUUCGAGAGGUCGGAGGAGGCCAAACACUAACUGGGGGAGACAGGAUGAGACCAGUCCCAGAAUGUCCAAGUGGGAGGAGCAGCCAAUGUAGCAGAGCUCAUAAGAAGGAGAGAAGGAGAAAGAAUGCCAAUGAUAUGAAAGAAGAAACAUCAAAACCAAAUCAAAGUAAAAGCAAUUCAAGUAUACCGAUGGAUGGAGAGCAAAGUUUUGAGCACCGAGAGGAAAAAGUGAAAAAGAGAAAUUGUCAAAUGAAAAAAAAAAAAAAAAAAAAAAAAAAAACGAAACUGAUUACUACAGAAGAUUUGCAUUGCUACAGUCAAUUAAAGAACGAAGCCGAUUACUACAGAAGAUUUGCAUUGCUACAGUCAAUUAAAGAACGAAACCGAUUACUACAGAAGAUUUGCAUUGCUACAGUCAAUUAAAACUUCCUGGCGAUGGACUAUUGCUGAAAGAUCUGCAACAAUAUCAAAGGAACAGAAUCUGAAAGAAAGACUGAAAACAGAGACAUUGAACUGAGAACAUAAUGUGGACAUUUUAUGGGAAACAUUCCAAAGAUAACAAAUGAUACAAAUGGGGAAUAUUUACAGUUAAGGAAAUAUGUUUACAAAGUUGCUUUUUAGGCUUUAAACUAAACUAGAUUUCAAUAAUGCAAUAACAUUUUCAAGUCCACAUAAAUAGGGUGAUAAAUUCAACAAGAAUUCUUAUGGAUAAGAGAAAAAGUUAAGGUCAACUUAUCUUGAUAAUAUUUAGGUCAUUUGGGAAAAUCUGAGUUUAAAAAUACAUUUUGCAGGCCACACUUUGGAUAUUUGUGUCAAUGGUAUAGUAACAAAACAUUAAAAAUAGGAACAGGAAGGAUAGAAAUUUCAGAAUGAUACAUACAAGAAAAUGUAAACCUUAUGGAAUUAUAGAAUUAGGAAAAGUCAAUAUGAAAUGCUUUAUAACAGGAAUCUUGAACGAAUCAACUAUAAAACUCUAGACAUAUUAUGAAGACAUCAAAGAGUCUAGCUUAAGGUGUAAAAGUGAGAAGAGAGAUGCUAUAAGAAGAAUAGUAUAAUCAAAUCAGAGCAAUAUUUGAAGAUCAAAUAUAUCGAUUGGAAAAUUAUUUUGGAGUUGUAGAAAAAGAAAAUGUUUAACCUCGUUAUCAUUAGGAUGGAGAGAAAAGGUACUUAAAUAUAAUGGUAACAUGGAAAUCAGUACAAUAGAAGGGAAUUCGGAAUCCUCAUUAAAGGAUGACAAAAACAAUUAAUCAAAAUUAUAUGUAGAUUCUGUCAAUCAACCAAAUGGGUACCAAAUUAGAUUAAGGUAUGGGAUUAAGCGAAAUACGGAAUUUAGUAAAGUUUUGUCAGAAUAAAAAUACAGAAUAAAUGAAUUAUGUACGGUACUACAAUCAAAAGUAGAUUAUUAAGUUUACCAAUAAGGCAUUCAUUUAUUUUAGGAAAACAACUAGAUGAAGCCAGUAGAAAUACAAGACAUAUUCUGAAUACAUUUUAAUCAGAAGUUAAUGAAAUCAAACAAAAGUUAAAAUAUUAGGAGGAUGGAAAAAUUAAUUUUAAAUCAACAAGAAUGGUAUCAGAACUUACGUUACAAAAUAGUAUUGAAUUCACAACGGGUAGAUAAUAUUCAAGAACCUUUGAUGAUGAUGAUGAUGAUGAUGAUGACGAAGAAGAGGAAUAAGCUGUAUUUGUAUUGAAACAAAUAUUUCGUAUUAUGAAUGAUUUACUUUUUGUUUUUAUUUUCAGUAAUUUUGUUUUAUUUGCUUUUUGGUUUUCUUUGCUUUUAUUUUUGUUUCCUUUUAACUAUUACAAUAUAUUCUACAUAACUGUGACAACCAACAGCAGGUGCAGAACCAAUUGCACACAUUUUUAAACUGUUUAUAAAGAGGGGCUUUAAGUUCUUUUACUUUUACAUUCAAAGACAAAACAAGAAUGGAAAGAGGUUUGCUCUUAUUGUCCAUAGUUCGAAGUGCAGUGGCAUAAUUUAGUAAUUGGUAAGGUAUAGUGGCUUUCUUUAGCCACAAGAUAUUAAUAAUUGAAACGCUGAAUUAUGAAACUGCACUCCGGAUUAAAAUAAACAGGAAAGGUGAGGCUAAAUUAAGCCUCAGAGCGGGGAUUAUGAAGAAGUUUUAUUUUAAUCCCAAUCUACAUGAAUAUGAUGAAUAUGAGUUUACCAUUAUAAUCACACGCAAUUUGUUUACUAUGAAGUUAUGCAGGUCAUGUGUUAUGUUGUGUGGGUCAGAUAAGCCAUCUGUGUGGAUUUAAGAA
Molecule: long non-coding RNA, 2957 nt
Organism: Paramisgurnus dabryanus
Lineage: Eukaryota; Metazoa; Chordata; Actinopteri; Cypriniformes; Cobitidae
Source: RefSeq, a predicted model, not a curated record